Molecule: ribosomal RNA, 180 nt
Filed under: uncultured bacterium
Lineage: Bacteria
Description: partial 16S ribosomal RNA
Rfam family: Bacterial small subunit ribosomal RNA
Source: RNAcentral
AUGAAGCCGGAAUCGCUAGUAAUCGCGGAUCAGAAUGCCGCGGUGAAUACGUUCCCGGGUCUUGUACACACCGCCCGUCACACCAUGGAGUCGGGAAUGCCCGAAGUCAGUGACCCAACCUUAGGGAGGGAGCUGCCGAAGGCAGGCCUGGUGACUGGGGUGAAGUCGUAACAAGGUAUC